GCCUCGGUAGUGUAGUGGUCAGCACGCUAGCCUGUCACGCUGGAAACCCGGGUUCGAAUCCCGACCGAGGCG
RNAcentral lists this transfer RNA (72 nucleotides) under Microcaldota archaeon. RNAcentral describes it as "tRNA-Asp". It matches the Rfam family "tRNA". Rfam says of the family: Transfer RNA (tRNA) molecules are approximately 80 nucleotides in length. Their secondary structure includes four short double-helical elements and three loops (D, anti-codon, and T loops). The record is from RNAcentral. Lineage: Archaea; Nanobdellati; Microcaldota.